UAGUUGGAUUUCUGUGGGGGACACGCGGCCGGCCAUCAGUGGUUGUAGCUAGUGUUGUUUUCUGCAUCUUGUCGCAAUUGCCACUGGCAUUCACUUGUUGGUGUGCAGGACCGACUCAUUUACUUUGAGAAAAUUAGAGUGUUCAAAGCAGGCUAUCGCCUUUGAAUAUGUUAGCAUGGAAUAAUGAUAUAGGACUUUGGUUCUAUUUUGUUGGUUGUUCGAGGACCGAAGUAAUGAUUGAUAGGGACAGUUGGGGGCAUCAGUAUUCUGAAGCGAGAGGUGAAAUUCUUGGACCUUCGGAAGACUAACAGCUGCGAAAGCGUUUGCCUAGGAUGUUCUCUUUAAUCAAGAACGAAAGUUGGGGGAUCGAAGACGAUCAGAUACCGUCGUAGUCUCAACUAUAUACUAUGCCAGCUAGGGAUUGGCGGAUGUUUAAUUAC
RNAcentral lists this ribosomal RNA (440 nucleotides) under uncultured marine eukaryote. RNAcentral's name for it is "bacterial SSU rRNA". It matches the Rfam family "Eukaryotic small subunit ribosomal RNA", at positions 631 to 1071 of the family's 1831-position model. The record is from RNAcentral.